AAACCCCAAAUCGACAUGGAGGGUUUGAUUUUCUCGCUUCCUCCUCUAAUUGUUGGUAAAAUUAUGUCGCUUUUUUUGUUCUUUGUUCGCAUUUUUCUUUUAUGUUGGAACAAUCGAAGCUCCUCCGGUCCACAUGUAAUCUGUGAUCAUAAUCAUUACUCUAAACCUACAGCUAAUGUCUUAUUCGCUUCAAGGUUCUCUUCCCGAUUCUUCUCCGAUAAAGAUGAAUCAGUUAAGGAGUUGAAAUUCACUGAGAUAUGGGAGAGGUUUAAGCAAGAUUGCCUAGAGAAAGAUAACUGACUUUUAUAUCCAAGUGAAGCUUUGGUUUUAGCUUCUUGGCUGGAGGAAGAAAAGGAAGCAGGAAAAGGCAAAAUAGGUUCUUUCUGGCAUAUGAUCUUUACUAAACCGGAGGUGGUUUCAUGUAAUGUAAGUAUACAUCUAUAGUUGUUGACAAAUAAAAAACUCCUGAAACAUUCGUAGUAUAUAUCACUUAAACUACUAAAAUGAGUGUUUUUUGUAGAUGAUUUCAUUUCUUAAGAAUCCGAUAGACAAAUGCUUUUUGUCAGGUAGAUAAUGUGUAUUUUUUAUUAUUAUUUAUAUAUGAAUGAUUAAUUGCUGAGUUUAGGCAACAAGAUCAGCUUAAGGGAGCAAAAGUGCAUGAGAGCAAAUACACAACCCUUCCCAACGUACUAAAAUUUGCGCUUGGAAUGGAAAGGACAUCAUCUUCAAGCAAACUAAAUAUUUGUUUCCAUAUAAUAUAAUACUGUCUCUUAGUGCGAAAUUGAUGGAAUGAAAAAGAUUUUCAUUAUUCUUGCAUUUUCCCCAAAAUUGAAUCGAAAGGUAUUCAUGAAUUUGUUAAUUAUAUUCCUAAUGCAACUAUAUAUUUUAUAUUAAUUUUAAUUGUGGAGUGAAUAAAACAAUUUGUAGCUUACCAACAUACUAUGCAUAUGUCAGCUUUCAAGGUCAUAUUUCUUCUUUUUUUAACUCUUCAAUUUUUUUUUCUUUUUUAUUUAUUUUAAUUUUUCUUAAAUUUUAUAUACUAUUUUCUAACAAUAUUAUAAAGAAUUGAUUGAACAUUGUAAUCUCAUGUUUGUAUAAUUUCAGAAAGAUAACUUCCAACUACAACAGCCACACCAGAAGAUUGGAUUAAACGGAUACAGUUGCUAUUUGGGCAAAAUCGGGAAAAAAAAUUCGGCUAAGUUUCAGAUAUAUCCUUCUCAAAUAAUGCAUGCUCAAUGUAGAUACUACUAGAACAAAUUACUCUACCUCUACUACUUUUUUAUCGUAUAACAGUGGAGAUUAAACAGCUCCAAGGGCAAGAUGGUCAUUACAACAGUUUUUGGAUACGGACAACCAUUGAAACAUAUAGUCGAAGGGAAAUCAUGCAUCAGUGCUCAGAUUACACACAUAUAUAUUGGCUCUGAAAUUAUAUUAAUGCAAAAAAUAGCAACAUACUUAUAUUUAUUUGUGUUCUAUGUCUUUCUAUUACGACAUUGUAUUGUUUAUUGUAGGGGCAAUUUGGUAUAAUGGGAUGCAUCAAGAAAUAGAUGUAGUUUAUGCUACA
Molecule: non-coding RNA, 1564 nt
Organism: Lactuca sativa (garden lettuce)
Lineage: Eukaryota; Viridiplantae; Streptophyta; Magnoliopsida; Asterales; Asteraceae
Source: RefSeq, a predicted model, not a curated record